This 231-nucleotide ribosomal RNA is filed under the name uncultured bacterium. RNAcentral's name for it is "partial 16S ribosomal RNA". It matches the Rfam family "Bacterial small subunit ribosomal RNA", at positions 99 to 334 of the family's 1533-position model. The record is from RNAcentral.
CGGACGGGUGAGUAAUGUAUGGGGAUCUGCCUGAUGGCGGGGGAUAACUACUGGAACGGUAGCUAAUACCGCAUAAUGUCUGCGGCCAAAGCGGGGGACCGUCCGGGCCUCGCGCCAUCAGAUGAACCCAUAUGGGAUUAGCUAGUAGGUAAGGUAACGGCUUACCUAGGCGACGAUCCCUAGCUGGUCUGAGAGGAUGACCAGCCACACUGGAACUGAGACACGGUCCAG